UCCAAUCGAACUCGGAGAUAGCUGGUUCUCCCCGAAAUAGCUUUAGGGCUAGCCUGAGGUAGUAAGUAUAGGCGGUAGAGCACUGAUCGGGCUAGGGGCCGUAAAGGUUACCGAACCCUGUCAAACUCCGAAUGGAUAUACUGUAGAGCCUUGGAGUCAGACUACGAGUGAUAAGAUCCGUGGUCAAAAGGGAAACAGCCCAGACCACCAGCUAAGGUCCCCAAUGUCGUACUAAGUGGAAAAGGAUGUGGGGUUUCAUAAACAACCAGGAUGUUGGCUCAGAAGCAGCCACCAUUUAAAGAGUGCGUAAUAGCUCACUGGUCGAGAGACCCUGCGCCGAAGAUUCCCGGGGCUAAAGUACGAAACCGAAGCUGUGGCUGUAUACGUAAAGUAUACGGGGUAGGGGAGCGUUCCCAUAGGGUAGAAGUCGAACUGGAAGGUUCGGUGGACUUGUGGGAAGUGAGAAUGUUGGUAUGAGUAGCGAAAAGAAAGGUGAGAAUCCUUUCCACCGAAAGCAUAAGGAUUCCUGAGCAACGAUCGUCGUCUCAGGGUAAGUCGGGACCUAAUCCGAGGCAGAGAGCGUAGGAGAUGGACAACUGGUUGAUAUUCCAGUACCGGUAGUAAUUGUUUGAGCAAUGGAGUGACACAGAAGGGCAGGCAAGCAUGCGAAUGGAAGAGCAUGUGUAAGCGUGUAGGGUGGUGCAUAGGCAAAUCCGUGCACUGAAAGCCUGAGGCGUGAUGCGGAGUGAGCAGAGAUGCGAGCGAAGUUGUUGACCCCACACUGUCGAGAAAAGCUUCUAGUGAGAGAGCUACCGCCCGUACCGUAAACCGACACAGGUAUGCGGGGAGAGAAUCCUAAGGUGCGCGGGAGAACCCUCGUUAAGGAACUCGGCAAAAUGUACCCGUAACUUCGGGAUAAGGGUAGCCACUGUUGUGAAGUCCCACGCGGAUGGAGCAUAGAGUGGUCGCAGAGAAGAGGCCCAAGCGACUGUUUACCAUAAACACAGGUGCCUGCUAAAGCGAAAGCUGACGUAUAGGUGCUGACACCUGCCCAGUGCCGGAAGGUUAAGGAAGGAUGUUCGGAUUAGUCCAAAGCAUUCGACUGAAGCCCCGGUGAACGGCGGCCGUAACUAUAACGGUCCUAAGGUAGCGAAAUUCCUUGUCGGGUAAG
RNAcentral lists this ribosomal RNA (1171 nucleotides) under human gut metagenome. Its description in RNAcentral is "bacterial LSU rRNA". It matches the Rfam family "Bacterial large subunit ribosomal RNA", at positions 828 to 1980 of the family's 2925-position model. The record is from RNAcentral.